RNAcentral lists this long non-coding RNA (1172 nucleotides) under Linum usitatissimum (flax). RNAcentral describes it as "long non-coding RNA (LUSI_LNC006112)". The record is from RNAcentral. Lineage: Eukaryota; Viridiplantae; Streptophyta; Magnoliopsida; Malpighiales; Linaceae.
GCCACUUUAACACACAAAGAUACAGAUCAAUAAACUUCAAACGCCCUAUAUUACCUUACUUGCUAAACAAAAUCUCAGAGAUCGAACUCAAUUCAAAUGGUUCAAAAAUCAGGAAGGAAUAACUUUUUACAACUCACAAACUCAACUGACUCAGCGGCUUUAACACACAAAGUUACGAAUCAGUAAACUUCAAACAACCUACAUUACCUUAUUUUCUAAACAAAAAUCCUCCAUAAUGAAUGAGGAUUGUUUUCCAGACGAUACAGAAAAAUCAGUCCAAAAAUACAAAAAAAAAAUGGAAAGGAAGAAGGACAAAGGAAACAAUUUGGAUUUGAUAAGAAGAAGAAUCCAGUAAGAAAUGAACAGCUAGCUAGCUCUCUGGCUAAGGCUACAAUCACGUGAUCACUCUCUGCACAUCCAAACCGUCCAACCGAAUUCCUUUGUCAUUUUCCCAUUCAUUCCUUCUUCAACCCCUUAUUAUCUUGGAUGCACAGCAGACCCAGAAAGUUAGCAGAGAGAGUUUCAGAUGGAUCCACCAGCAGAACAAUCCAUAGAGAGGAAUUUGGAGGCUGGAGAUGACAGCCAAGACCAAGCUAUCAACGAAUGGUAAGUAUUGAUCAUCAGUUCUGUCUCUUCUCUUCUCUUGUUUGUUUAUUAAUUGAUUGAUGGGUUUUCUUCUUCUUUUUCUUCUUUGUUUUCUGGGCACAGCUGUUCUUGCUGCUAUGAAUGCUUUCAGGUCUGCCUGGAUUUCAUCUGCUGUGGCUCAGACUAAUUGGCUCUUCUGUCGUCAUUCCCAGUUACAUCAGAUGUAGAAUGAUUGGUCUCUGGUUUUUUUUAUCAUGGGAAUGGAUAGUUUUGUUUGUGUAGUUGGUGGUAGAAAGAAAAAGUUAGGAUCUUUAGUAGCUAAUUCCCCAAACGUGGAACACAUGUUUGGGAUGAUCAAAAGUGAGCGAUUUUAACGUGACAAUCUGAUGAACUGCCAACUUCGAGUGAUUGAUGAUUCCAUGAUUGAUGUGUAGUCGAAUAAACAACAGUGAAAUUGACGUGUAACUAGCCAUCAAAUUAAUCCAACUCGUAAGUGGAGUCUGCCCGACUUUCAAUAACUAGUUAGAGUUGUCUGUAAUUAAUUACACGACUUAAUAACUAGUUUAAAAUUCGAAUUUUAAAAGGCA